UUUUCUGUGCUGUGAUAAGGUUUGUUCGUUUGCAUUUGGCGUCUGCGUUGCCUUUAUGAGCUGUAGCGCUCACUGCGAAAAUUGUCACUUUAUUUCUGAAGUGGGUGAGAUGACGAGCCCGGCAGGAGGAACGAAACACUCAUCUGUGAAAGUUGCAACUUCAUUUCUGAAGUAGGUGAGACGACUCUGUGAAAGUUGCAACUUCAUUUCUGAAAUUUCCCAUUUUGGCCACGCUUCACAUGCGACACAUAUAGAAGUACACAGCAGCUUCCCCCCUUACCUGCAAGGGAUAUGUUCAGAGAUCUCCAGUGGAUGCCUGAAACUAUGGAUAGUACUGAAUCCUAUAUAUACUGUUUUUUUCUAUACAUAUAAUAAAGUUUAUAAAUUAGGUACAGUAAGAGAUUAAAAACUCAAAAUAUGAGUUAAACUCAUAUGCAAUAUAAUAUAUGCAAUAAAAUUGAAAUACUGUCAAACUCU
Molecule: long non-coding RNA, 477 nt
Filed under: Homo sapiens (human)
Lineage: Eukaryota; Metazoa; Chordata; Mammalia; Primates; Hominidae
Description: HSALNT0099948
Source: RNAcentral